This 253-nucleotide ribosomal RNA is filed under the name uncultured bacterium. RNAcentral describes it as "partial 16S ribosomal RNA". It matches the Rfam family "Bacterial small subunit ribosomal RNA", at positions 524 to 776 of the family's 1533-position model. The record is from RNAcentral.
UACGGGGGGGGCAAGCGUUGUUCGGAAUUACUGGGCGUAAAGGGCUCGUAGGUGGCCAACUAAGUCAGACGUGAAAUCCCCAGGCUCAACUUGGGAACUGCGUCUGAUACUGGAUGGCUUGAAUCCGGGAGAGGGAUGCAGAAUUCCAGGUGUAGCGGUGAAAUGCGUAGAUAUCUGGAGGAAUACCGGUGGCGAAGGCGGCAUCCUGGACCGACAUUGACGCUGAUGAGCGAAAGCUAGGGGAGCAAACGGG